This is a small nuclear RNA of Mustela putorius furo (domestic ferret), 102 nucleotides long. The record is from Ensembl. NCBI's taxonomy places the organism in Eukaryota, Metazoa, Chordata, Mammalia, Carnivora, Mustelidae.
CUGCUCACUUGGCCAACACAUACACUGAAACUGUAUUGACACAGAGAAGAUUAGCAUGGCCCCAUGCAGGACACAGAAAUUCACGAAAUGUUCCAUAUUUUA